RNAcentral lists this unclassified non-coding RNA (300 nucleotides) under uncultured Bolbitius. RNAcentral describes it as "sequence contains 5.8S rRNA gene, ITS2". The stretch from base 1 to 71 matches the Rfam family "5.8S ribosomal RNA", at positions 84 to 154 of the family's 154-position model. The record is from RNAcentral. Lineage: Eukaryota; Fungi; Basidiomycota; Agaricomycetes; Agaricales; Bolbitiaceae.
GUGAGUCAUCGAAUCUUUGAACGCACCUUGCGCUCCUUGGUAUUCCGAGGAGCAUGCCUGUUUGAGUGUCAUUAAAUUCUCAACCAUCCUGUCUUUCUUUCGAGAGGCGGCGAUGCGUUGGAUGUGGGGACUUGCCUGUUUCUUACGAGACUUCGGCUUCCCUUAAAAGCAUUAGCUAGAGCGCUUCUGUUGACUAGCUGCUAGUGUGAUAAUUAUCUACACUGUGGCCAACGAAGGAAACUCUGCUUCUAAUCGUCUGCUUGCAGACAACUUCUGAUAUCUUGACCUCAAAUCAGGUAG